CGCGUAGGCUGCGGGGCAAGUCGGGUGUGAAAUCUCAGGGCUCAACCCUGAAACUGCACUCGAUACUGCUCUGCUUGAGGACUGGAGAGGAGACUGGAAUUCACGGUGUAGCAGUGAAAUGCGUAGAGAUCGUGAGGAAGACCAGUGGCGAAGGCGGGUCUCUGGACAGUUCCUGAGCUGAGGCGCGAAGGCCAGGGGAGCAAACG
RNAcentral lists this ribosomal RNA (206 nucleotides) under uncultured bacterium. Its description in RNAcentral is "partial 16S ribosomal RNA". It matches the Rfam family "Bacterial small subunit ribosomal RNA", at positions 568 to 774 of the family's 1533-position model. The record is from RNAcentral.